This is a long non-coding RNA of Astyanax mexicanus (Mexican tetra), 246 nucleotides long. RefSeq lists it as uncharacterized. The transcript has 3 exons. The record is from RefSeq and is a predicted model, not a curated record. Lineage: Eukaryota; Metazoa; Chordata; Actinopteri; Characiformes; Acestrorhamphidae.
UAUGGGUUUCUGGGUCUAAGAGUCUAUGGUUCUAUGAGUCUACAGGUCUAUGAGUCUACAGGUCUAUGAGUCGAUGGGUCUAUGAGUCUAUGGGUCUAUGGAUCUUUGGGUCUUUGGAUCUAUGGGUCUUUGGAUCUAUGGGUUUCUGGGUCUAAGGGCCUAUGGUUCUAUGAGUCUACAGGUCUAUGAGUCUACAGGUCUAUGAGUCUAUGGGUCUUUGGAUCUAUGGGUUUCUGGGUCUAAGGG